UGAUUCAGUGUCUGAAGAACACCUGUCAAACCGAACCUCGUUCGCGCGCGCGAAAUAAACAAGUGAAAACAAAACACCAAAGAGCAGCGGUGAACAUUGCUUAAAUUGUUAAUAUUCUUGGCUGACAUGCCGGAGUGUUCCAACUGGAAAUUCCAGCUUGAUGGCCGGUCUGGUGCCGUACUGAGACGUGCCGUAGACAGCCACCUUUCUGAGCGUUCGUCAGUCAUCGAUUUGCUGCCAGCUAGAAUUUUCCUCGACCCAUACCUACUUCAUUUUCGAAGGUGCUCCACAACUAGCCUCUGGGUGUGCUCUGGGUCUAUUCUGCUGCGAAGUUCUGAUGGAUUCGUACAGUAAAUUACCGUUCUCGUUGUGAAAACGAUUCUACUAGUAAAACGAAAACAUUAGGUUAGAUGAUGUUGGUGUCGACGGUCUGCCACGAUUUGGCAGCGUAUUUUUCGUGUAAAGCUGCCGCGAAAAGAACAAGCUCCGGAAUUAGCGUUUUGAUUUGGAGACGCAGAAGUAGGUACGUGACAAAAUUCUAAGACCCCAACGCACCGAAAUGUUUUGUCGGCGUUUCUCUUGUUCUGCAACGGUGAAUGGAACAAGUUGCAGGGCAAGGCGCAGUACGAACAGGUGGUCAAGCUGAAAUAGGAAAACGAAUAGACCGGUGGAAUCUCAAUCAACUCGCUGUAAACCAGCACGUAGCAUGCGGUAGUGACCCAACAGGAGAUGGAGAAACAGCUGACCAGGGAAUCGAACGUAGUUUGCGACGAAAAAGGCACUUCUGCUAAUCAUGGAGCAGCUUCUUCACCGGUCUCAUUUAUCAAAUGCUUUGUAAUAUUUCUUUCUGUUUUUAUGUAAUAUUAAUAAAAAAAAAUGCGGUGGGUGGGGGUGAGGUGUUUUGUUGGGCUCUAUAAAGUCAUCCGAAAUUACAUAGGCUGGGGCUACUAGUUGUAUGAAUAACUACAUCUGCCCAUAAUCGCAUAUCAGUAACAAUCGACAAAAAUAGGCAAAUUACCAUUUUCGCUUGCAUGUGAAUAAACCGAAAUUAAAAAAAAAACAAACUCCAAAUCAAUCGUUUAGCGAUAAAAUUAUCUACAGCACUUUUUGUAUGCUGAACCAAUAGCCAGAAAAUAAAUAAAACCUUAAUAAAAUUGAUUGCACGCUUUAAAGUCGGGCUAUUUUUUUCAGUGUGACUGUUAUGCAAUUACAUGCAUUCAACAUUGAGACAAAAUGACUUAUUUCAAAUAUCCUUGAACAAACUUUAAAAUUUUAUUAGGGUAAUUGAAAGUAGGUACUUCUGUUUCGUUGA
Aedes albopictus (Asian tiger mosquito) is the source of this 1312-nucleotide long non-coding RNA. RefSeq lists it as uncharacterized. Lineage: Eukaryota; Metazoa; Arthropoda; Insecta; Diptera; Culicidae. The transcript is spliced from 4 exons. The record is from RefSeq and is a predicted model, not a curated record.